UACGGGGGGGGCAAGCGUUGUUCGGAAUUACUGGGCGUAAAGGGCCAGUAGGCGGCCAACUAAGUCCGACGUGAAAUCCCAAGGCUUAACCUUGGAACUGCGUCGGAUACUGGAUGGCUUGAAUUCGGGAGAGGGAUGCAGAAUUCCAGGUGUAGCGGUGAAUGCGUAGAUAUCUGGAGGGAAUACCGGUGGCGAAGGCGGCAUCCUGGACCGACAUUGACGCUGAACGGCGAAAGCUAGGGG
Molecule: ribosomal RNA, 243 nt
Filed under: uncultured bacterium
Lineage: Bacteria
Description: partial 16S ribosomal RNA
Rfam family: Bacterial small subunit ribosomal RNA
Source: RNAcentral